Molecule: ribosomal RNA, 323 nt
Filed under: uncultured Pseudomonas sp.
Lineage: Bacteria; Pseudomonadati; Pseudomonadota; Gammaproteobacteria; Pseudomonadales; Pseudomonadaceae
Description: bacterial SSU rRNA
Rfam family: Bacterial small subunit ribosomal RNA
Source: RNAcentral
UCGUGUCGUGAGAUGUUGGGUUAAGUCCGUAACAGCGCAACCUUGUCCUAGUUACCAGCACGUUAUGGUGGGCACUCUAAGGAGACUGCCGGUAGGACAAACCGGGAGGAAGGUGGGGAUGACGUCAAGUCAUCAUGGCCCUUACGGCCUGGGCUACACACGUGCUACAAUGGUCGGUACAAAGGGGUUGCCAAGCCGCGAGGUGGAGCUAAUCCCAUAAAACCGAUCGUAGUCCGGAUCGCAGUCUGCAACUCGACUGCGUGAAGUCGGAAUCGCUAGUAAUCGUGAAUCAGAAUGUCACGGUGAAUACGUUCCCGGGCCUU